Non-coding RNA from Solanum lycopersicum (tomato), 2260 nucleotides. NCBI's taxonomy places the organism in Eukaryota, Viridiplantae, Streptophyta, Magnoliopsida, Solanales, Solanaceae. The record is from RefSeq and is a predicted model, not a curated record.
UGUAGAAGUAGUAACUCUCCAAGUUAUAUUUUACUUAUAAAAAAGACAUCACACCACAAUAAAACACGGUUAAAUUAGUUAAAAGACUAUCUCCAAUCAAUAUAUUACUCUUAUAUUAGAAAAGGCAUGUUCAACAUGUCUGGUUAAUGUCAAUUAAAUUGAUAUCAAGGGCAAUUCAGACUUUUGAGUCAAAUAUUUAUGCUAUGUGAUCAAGGGAAAUUCAUACUUUGGAGUCAAAUAUUUAUGCUAUGUGUCUCUUAAGUUGAAGAGAAAAAGACACGUAUCAAAAUGUGUGCAGAGCACGUGUUAUCAUUCUUUCUACAAUCAAUUCAUGCUCUCUCUCUCUCCACCGCGUGUGACUUUAUGUUGUGUAAUUGGUGGGGUUUCGUGCCAUUUCUCUCUCGCUUAACUAGUGUCCCGCCGGGAGAGAAGGAAGUUCAAGAGUAGAAGAAAGCUAUUUCUCUGCUUCUAAGAAACAUUUUUUUUAAUUUCUUCUUCUUCUUAUGCUUUCUGCUCCCACAAUCUCACUUUUUCUUCUCUGUGCAGUGUUCUUUCGACAGUUUGUGAUUUUCUCAACUUUAAUCAACUUUUCAUCAUCUAUGAGUUGGAGAAGUACGUGAAUUCGCGAAGAGAAUAGUGAGGGAGAAGUUGAAUGAGAGAUCGUCGUUGGAUUCAGCAGGUACAUUUUCUAGGUACUAACACUGAAGGUACAUUUCUAGGUACUAACACUGAAGAAAUUAGGAAUUGCAGUUGGAGAAGCUGAGGCCUUUUUCAUGGUAACAUGUUCAUCUGGGUUUUCUUAGUUUUUGGAGAUACUACCAAUAGAUGAUUUUGGAUGGGGUAACGACAUGCACGUGCUUUUUUUUAAUUUACUUUGAUUAUUUUUUUCUUUUGUUUAUAUGUUAUUCCAACAAAUGCAAAAUUAUGCACCCUAGAUGUUUGAUUAUUUGCCUAAGAAAACUGAUUAAUAUUUUUUUAUAUAUAAUUUUUAAAUCUGUGUUGGUGAUUUGCACUUGUUUCUUAUUCUUCCUCGCCGUCUUUAUAUCUUUGUUUUAGUUGUUCACCAAUUUUUUUUUGUGUUUCUCCAUUUUCUUGAUUCUUCUUUCACAGGUUUAACAACAAUUUAAGUUUACUCAUUGUGAUUCAUAUAUUAUUUCUUUUUAAUUUCACUGUAAGUGCUAGCAAUUUAGCAGAUCCUUUUAAGCCUAUAAAUUUUAUAAUUGUGGAACUCAUAUUGUUUUCCUGCAAUUGGUUUCGGGUAUGUUCUUUUGCAUUAAAAGUUAUAGCAAGGUGAUUUUAUUUCAUUUAGCGGAUGAGUAUGUUUGGAGAUUUCUUUAAUGCCACCGAUCAAAUUAGUUGUCUUCCAUAGACAUUUUUAACUCUUCUUUUUCAUUAUCAUCUUUCAUUUGCUCUGUCUCUUUUUGAGUUGGUAACUGUUUGGGGUCGAAGUGGUUUCUAUUGUUUAAUUUUUUCCUUUACUUGAAUGCUUUUAACUAGCUAGAUUCUAUAUGCAUUAAUUUCAACUUUUUGCCUCAUUCUCAUUGCUAGAUGUACAUCAAGAAAGGAAAAAAAGAUCUUUAGAAAUUUCUCUAGCAGUGUGAGAACAUUAGCCGACGCUUCCUCUUAAAAGACACUAUUGGAUUAAUUAUUGAGUUUUUGGGCAUAAUAUUUUUUCCCUUUAUCUCAAUUUGAGUUGUAAGUUAUAUCAGGUGUGUGCCUUAUUACGACUUUUUCUUUCUUUUUUGUUUAAUUAAGGUAUGCAAUUACUGCUAAUAGAGUUUGAUGAACGUUUUAGGUGUUUGAUAAUAUGCCUAAAAUAGUUGAUAUUUUUUUUUAUUAAUUUUAACUUUUCUCUUUUGAUAGAUGUUUUACAACUUGUAGCAGAUUAUUUCACUUCACUGAAUUUGAAAGAAAUUCUAGCUUUGUUGAAGGAAAAUAUGGCUGUCAAUCUACCAUAGAUAUAGUGAUGCAGAGAAUGAAGAUUAGAAACACCGUAUAAAUACAACAAAGAGAGACCUUUUUAGCAGAUGAUCAUGCCUCCAUCUCCAGCAUGAUGAGUUGCGACAUAAAAUUUUUAUCAGGCCUGAUAAUUAUUUAAGCUUUCAUUCACCACAUUUUCUUCAAUCUUCUUCACUCUGAUCAAUCAGUAGAUGAUUUGAAAUGGAAUAAAUGUGAAUCAGGUGUUUCAACAUCUACUGCUUGUGCUUUUUGUGUUGUUAUUUUGCUAAUGAUUAAUUGGAUAUGCUCCUAUAUUGAUUGA